This 282-nucleotide long non-coding RNA is filed under the name Mytilus galloprovincialis (Mediterranean mussel). The record is from RNAcentral. Lineage: Eukaryota; Metazoa; Mollusca; Bivalvia; Mytilida; Mytilidae.
AGAAAAGAGUUGUCUUUCUUCAGGACAUCGCAUCUGACGUCAUAGUACAAACCUCCCUUGCUGGCGCACUAUUUGAAAAAAAAUCGCAAAUUGGACGUUUGAAACCCACAUUUAAAUUUCCAAGAAUAACAACUAUAUUCACCUACUUUAUUAUCCGGUAAUACAAGAGAUUAAAUGCAUGUGUCAGUAUUUGAUCUUAUGAUGUUGUUGCCGCACAAUAUUAACCUUCAGAAACCCCAUCCGUCGGAAUGGAAAAUUGUUUGAAAUAACCUUUCUCGCAGC